RNAcentral lists this ribosomal RNA (253 nucleotides) under uncultured bacterium. RNAcentral describes it as "partial 16S ribosomal RNA". It matches the Rfam family "Bacterial small subunit ribosomal RNA", at positions 524 to 776 of the family's 1533-position model. The record is from RNAcentral.
UACAGAGGUCUCAAGCGUUUGUUCGGAUUCAUUGGGCGUAAGGGUGCGUAGGCGGCGCGGUAAGUCGGGUGUGAAAUCUCGGAGCUUAACUCCGAAACUGCAUUCGAUACUGCCGUGCUUGAGGACUGGAGAGGAGACUGGAAUUUACGGUGUAGCGGUGAAAUGCGUAGAUAUCGUAAGGAAGACCAGUGGCGAAGGCGGGUCUCUGGAACGCAACUGACGCUGAGACGCGAAAGCGUGGGGAGCAAACAGG